This 301-nucleotide ribosomal RNA is filed under the name uncultured bacterium. RNAcentral describes it as "partial 16S ribosomal RNA". It matches the Rfam family "Bacterial small subunit ribosomal RNA", at positions 509 to 807 of the family's 1533-position model. The record is from RNAcentral.
CAGCCGCCGCGGUAAUACGAAGGGGGCUAGCGUUGUUCGGAAUUACUGGGCGUAAAGCGCACGUAGGCGGAUAUUUAAGUCAGGGGUGAAAUCCCAGAGCUCAACUCUGGAACUGCCUUUGAUACUGGGUAUCUUGAGUAUGGAAGAGGUGAGUGGAAUUCCGAGUGUAGAGGUGAAAUUCGUAGAUAUUCGGAGGAACACCAGUGGCGAAGGCGGCUCACUGGUCCAUUACUGACGCUGAGGUGCGAAAGCGUGGGGAGCAAACAGGAUUAGAUACCCCUGUAGUCCCUGUCUCUUAUAC